This 1996-nucleotide ribosomal RNA is filed under the name Bubalus bubalis (water buffalo). Its description in RNAcentral is "bacterial LSU rRNA". It matches the Rfam family "Bacterial large subunit ribosomal RNA", at positions 1 to 2101 of the family's 2925-position model. Lineage: Eukaryota; Metazoa; Chordata; Mammalia; Artiodactyla; Bovidae. The record is from RNAcentral.
UUAAGUAAUGAAAGAGGUUUGUAAGGAUACCUAGCAGAUAUACUUGAAAGGAAGUAAAUCUUUAAGUAAUAGUAAGAAAUUUGUAAACUAUUACAAUCCUAAGGAAAACCAAUAAAAUAGAUUACGCUGGGAACUAAAACAUUUCAGUACCAGUAGGAAAGGAAAUCUAAUGAGACUUCUGUAGUAAUGGUGAGUGAAACAGAAUCAGCCUAUUAUUCAUAUUGUAAAUAUAUUUUUUAAUAGUAAAAUAUUGUGGAAUUCAAUAUAUUUAUUAUACUACUAUACUAUGUAUAGUAGUAUAAUAUACCAAAGAUGGUGAAAGUCCAGACUACUAUUUUCUUGCAUUCAAGAAAUAGAUAUAUUUACAUACAUGUAUGAGUAAACAAAGUAAUAUGAAGACGGCAGCUUUGUAUGAAAUAUGGGGAUACCAUUCUCCAAGGCUAAGUAUAGUAUAUCUAGCGAUAGUGAAGAGUAACGUGAGUGAAAGGUGAAAAGUAAGUGUAUGACUGGUGAAAUAGAUCUUGAAUUACAAGCCUUACAAGCAGUUAGAGUUCUAUAGAAUAGAAUGAUAACGUACCUUUUGCAUAAUGGGUCAGCAAGUUAAUUAUAAAUGCAAGAUGAUGAAUCUUAGCGAAAGCGAUUGGCAUAACUGAGGAAAGUAUUUAUAAUUAGAUCCGAAACCAGAUGAUCUUUUUAUGGCCAGGUUUUAAGGGACCGAACAGCAAAAUGUUGCAAUAUUUUCUGAUGAGCUGUGAAAAGGGGUGAAAUGCUAAUCUAAUCUGGUGAUAGCUGAUAUUCUGCGAAAUCUAUUUUAGUAGAAAGUUUAUAUAUAGAAGAUUCUUUGUAUAGCACUGAUUUCCAUUUCCAAUAGAUUUACGGAUCUAUUGAUGUAGAAUAAAUUAGGGGAUUAUGAAAUCCUACUAUUGGAAGUUAACCUCAGAAGAAGAAUCUAUUGUUUAUGAACUGACAGUCUAUUUGUGAUAAGGUAAAUAGACAAAAGGGAAACAGCCCAGAUCAUAAAUUAAGGUCCCAAAUAGAUAUUUAGUGAAAAAAAGAAGGUCUUCUAUCUAAUACAACUACAAAGUAAGCUUGGAAGUAGCUAUCUUUUAAUGAUAGUGUAACAACUCAAUAGUCUAAAAUUCUAGAAUUUCGUAAGAAAUUCUAGAUUGAUAGAAGGCAUCGAAGAUUUAUCGGGUCUGAAAUAUCUAACCUACAUUAUGAUCUUAUUUAUUAUUGAAAGUAAUAAUAAAUAGGAAGGUAGCAGAACACUUAGUAUUCAGUGUGAAGAAAUGAAUAAAUUCAUUUUGGACAAUACUAAAGAGAGAAUGCUGGCAUGAGUAACGAUUAAGGAGUUAGAAUACUCCUCGCCGAAAACGAAAGGGUUUCAUGGAAAAGGUAAUCUGCCAUGAUUUAUACGGCUUCUAAGGGAAAUGAACGAAUUGUCAUUUUCUGAUGAAAGAAAGAAAUAAACAACCUUAGAAAUAAGGUUCAGGAAAAAUAUUUCUUCUAUAAAUAGUAACCGUACCUUAAACCGACACAGGUUCGUGGGUAGAGUAUACUAAGGCGUAGAGAUAAGGCUAGUGAAGGAACUCGGCAAAUUGCUUCUGUAAGUUCGACGAUAAAGAAGAAGAGAUAAUGAUGAGAUAUGAAAAUAUCUUAUCUUAUUUCUUGGCACAAAAGUGAGGGCUUCGACUGUUUACUAAAAACAUAGCAACUUGCUAAGACGAAAAGUACUUGUAUAAGUUGUGAACUCUGUCCAAUGCCAUUUGUUUAAGGAAGGGAAUCUUCUUCCGGGAAGUGUUCCUGACUGAUGCGGUGGUGAAUGACGGUCUUAACUAUAAGGAUCUGAAAGUAGCGAAAUUCCUUGGCCAUUAAAUGUGGUCCUGCAUGAAUGAGGUAACGCGGCCCUGCUGUCUCCACUAGCUUCUCAGUGAAAUUGAAUUAGCCGUGCAGAUGCGGUUUGCCUUCCGGAGGACGCGAAGACCCUAUGCAGCUU